UACGUAGGGAGCAAGCGUUGUCCGGAAUCAUUGGGCGUAAAGCGCGCGUAGGUGGCCUCGUAAGUCCGCUGUAAAAGUCCAGGGCUCAACCCUGGAAAGCCGGUGGAUACUGUCGGGCUAGAGUCCGGAAGAGGCGAGUGGAAUUCCUGGUGUAGCGGUGGAAUGCGCAGAUAUCAGGAAGAACACCCGUGGCGAAGGCGGCUCUCUGGGACGGUACUGACGCUGAGACGCGAAAGCGUGGGGAGCGAACAGG
This 253-nucleotide ribosomal RNA is filed under the name uncultured bacterium. Its description in RNAcentral is "partial 16S ribosomal RNA". It matches the Rfam family "Bacterial small subunit ribosomal RNA", at positions 524 to 776 of the family's 1533-position model. The record is from RNAcentral.